CAAUAGCGUAUAUUAAAGUUGUUGCAGUUAAAAAGCUCGUAGUUGGAUUUCUGGUGGGAGCGAUCGGUCUGGCGCUUAGCGCGAGUACUUGCAUCGUCUCCGGCCAUCCUUGGGGAGAGUCUGUCUGGCAUUAAGUUGUCGGGCAGAGGAUCCUCAUCGUUUACUGUGAAAAAAUCAGAGUGUUCAAAGCAGGCUUAUGCCGUUGAAUAUAUUAGCAUGGAAUAAUAAGAUAGGACUUUGGUACUAUUUUGUUGGUUUGCGCACCAAAGUAAUGAUUAAUAGGGACAGUUGGGGGUAUUCGUAUUCCGUUGUCAGAGGUGAAAUUCUUGGAUUUACGGAAGACGAACUACUGCGAAAGCAUUUACCAAGGAUGUUUUCAUUAA
RNAcentral lists this ribosomal RNA (383 nucleotides) under uncultured eukaryote. Its description in RNAcentral is "partial 18S ribosomal RNA". It matches the Rfam family "Eukaryotic small subunit ribosomal RNA", at positions 592 to 976 of the family's 1831-position model. The record is from RNAcentral.